RNAcentral lists this ribosomal RNA (322 nucleotides) under uncultured eukaryote. RNAcentral describes it as "partial 18S ribosomal RNA". It matches the Rfam family "Eukaryotic small subunit ribosomal RNA", at positions 1470 to 1796 of the family's 1831-position model. The record is from RNAcentral.
CCCUUAGAUGUUCUGGGCCGCACGCGUGCUACACUGAGUGGAUCAGCGGGUCAGGUUGCGCGAAAGCGUUUCCUAAUCUUUAAAUCCGCUCGUGAUGGGGAUUGACGGUUGCAAUUUUCUGUCAUGAACGAGGAAUACCUUGUAAGCGCGGGUCAUCAUCCCGCGCUGAAUACGUCCCUGCCGUUUGUACACACCGCCCGUCGCUCCUACCGAUUGAGUGGUCCGGUGAGGCUUUGGGAUCUGAGCGGAAAGAGCGUUUCGCUGUUUCUGCUCGGAAAACUCAGUCGAACCUUAUCAUUUAGAGGAAGGAGAAGUCGUAACA